This is a non-coding RNA of Guyanagaster necrorhizus, 91 nucleotides long. NCBI's taxonomy places the organism in Eukaryota, Fungi, Basidiomycota, Agaricomycetes, Agaricales, Physalacriaceae. The record is from the annotation of a RefSeq genome assembly.
GGGGUUAUAGCUCAGUUGGGAGAGCAGUAGACUGAAGUUGACGAGUCAUUUAUUCUUCUAAAGGUCCCCAGUUCAAUCCUGGGUGACCCCA